CGACUUUCUCCCCGCUCGAGCGGUCUGGACGAGCUUGACUGGCUGCUGCGUGCUCUCUCUUGGGUUUAUCGACUAGCGCCUGUUUCCCCACCCGCCUCGGCACUCGCACGCGAAAUCACCGGUGAAACGUGAUCAGACAGAGAAGCCCGACGUAGCGUCUUUCGAGCAGUACAACCGCACGAAGGCCAGCAGAGACCACUUCUCUUGACGCCACGCCUUGUCCGACCCCGCCCGUCAGCCGCGACAAACCCCGUUCUCCUCCCUGAACCCACCCACCCCGAC
RNAcentral lists this unclassified non-coding RNA (282 nucleotides) under Rhodotorula toruloides. The record is from RNAcentral. Lineage: Eukaryota; Fungi; Basidiomycota; Microbotryomycetes; Sporidiobolales; Sporidiobolaceae.